CAGCCAGUGGUCUGAGUCACUGACUGAGAGCUGGACUUGCUGCAAGCAGUAUCUGAAACGGACGAUGGAGCUCACCUACCAGACCACAAGGUAUCCGACUCACCCACCUCUACACCAUCAUGGAUCCUGCACACGCUCCACUGGAACAGCAGAGAAGGUAAGCAGGAAAGGGGUGUGGGGACGUACACACACACACACACAUUAAGACUCCCCAGCACACACAGAUAAACUCAUCUUUCCCUCACACAUCUCUUACACACAUAAAUACUUAUACACUACACACAACACUCAAUACACACAAUUCACGGAAAUAGAGCCCAAUGCUCUAGGAGGGGUUCAAAUAUGCCACCAUGUCUAGGGCUCUGAGGUACCUUAAUCCAGCUAUGAAAUUUAUACUUUGUAUAUAUAUAAUACAUAGAGGAUAAGUAAAAACAAUAUUAAAAUUAUUGGGAGUUAACGGUUCCCCUUUAAAUGGCAUGGCAUAUUUAUAAAGUUAAAUGGCCAAAAGUGGUUAAAAUGUCUCUGUGACUUCUGAGUAUUUCAUAAAGAUAUAAUCUUUACAAAAUAAACAUAAAACAUUCUGUUCCUGUAUAACCAACUUGUCUUGUUGGGGCUUUAUACAUAAUAUUAAUAUUGACUUGUGAAAUCUCAUUAAAAUUCCAACGCAAUCAAAAGCUAUCGCUGACUAUUUUAUAUUGUGGGCCAGUGUGAGGUUGACAAAACUUCUGCAAUAAAGGUUUGUCAAUGCCCACAAAAAUAGCUUCUAUAGACCCUGUAGUUUUGUGCAUGUGUUACAGUACGGCAAUGGGGCAGUUCCUGGCAGUUGUAGCAACAGGAACUGAAAAUGGAUGACACAAGAAUAGCUGGGUCAGAGCUUCAGGCUGCCACACACUAUGAAGGCAUGUCACCUCAAGGGUCUUUGUCAUUUUUUGGGGGUCUGGGCAAAGUAAGGGGCACUGUAUGUCUGAUAAUUAUAAUGCAAUUCCAAGAUGGCUGCCCCCAUACUAAAACGCUGUGAGACCUUCAAAUAAUAUUUAAGGCCAUACUUGGUAAAGUUUGCUUAAAGGAGAAUUUUAUUAAUCUGUCUGGAUUGUUUGAAACAGAUUUAUAGAAAGAACAUUUUAGUAACUGCAACACUUUUAGUAAAUAGUGGGAAGAGUACAAUGUAUUUCACUUCUGUAGCCACAAUGGCCGCUAUUCCAUGUCUGGGGCUAGCAGAAAGUACGCUUGUUUCAUUUGCGAGUAAGGCAAGUGAACAGAGUACUUCUGGGCUAAUGUGAGAAGGUUGUCAGUAGCACAAAGGGUUAAGGUGUGAGAUAGAAAUAAUUACAGUCACGUUGAAAAAAAAAACGUUUCAGCAAAAUGUAAUGUAUUUAAGCACAAGGAACAUUCGGCUGUGUGUUUCUGGGGAAUGAGUGUCUUCGCUAAUUAGAUGACUGGAUGUGCUGAUCCCCCGAAAAGCACUAUGCUACAGAAAUGCAAGUAAAGUGAAAGGCACCAGGAAUGACCAUCCAGUAAAAGCUGUUGAGACAAAUGUUGCAGAAAUUAUAAGGCUGUGGUCUGUGUAAAGCUUGGAGAACAAACAAGCGUGAACAUUGAGAUAAAUGGCAGAAUGACACAGUUGUUGAGACACAUUGUUCUGUCCUGAACUCAUGAUCUAUGUUUCUGCGAAAUGUUUUUUAAGAAAAAAAAAAAAAAAAAAACCCUCCUCAUCAGAGAUCACAUUAAGGGGCUGGAGUCAUCGUACCGAAGGGGGAGGUGUGCAGUUGUAAGUAACCCCUGUCCAGCUCUAAAAGCUGUUUAGGCAUUUACCUUUUACCCAUGUCUCAGGAGUAUAUAUAGGGUUAAACUGUCCCUGCCUCCAUUUCAGAUUAACUCUUACAAAGCACAAGCCUCUCCCUCUCUCUCCAUAUUUAAUACUGUAUUGAGCCUUCAGGGAGAUUAGUGCAUGCCUAAUGACCCAGGCCAAGCCAACAUUAACCAUGUGAUGCCAUGGCAGAAAACACUGUAACUGGGGGUAUGUAUUAAAUUCACACUCAUACAUUUUUAUAAGCCUUGGAUUUAUUUUUUCAGGAACCAAAAUAUAUACAAUAAAUUUAAAAAGAAAAUCAGCUUCAGUGUAACUGUGCAUAUAUACAAAUGUAAAUGUGACUAUAAAAGUUAAGUAUAGACACACAAAACACAGCAACACCCAAACUGUCAUCUCUCGCCAUCUGCAUUACGCCCUUCUGACCCACAUAAUGCCAGUUUCAGAUUGAGCGAUUGUGUAUUCAGGGCAAGAUUGGGUAAUCUUCUUAAUGCCUAGGACUGUUUAUACAUUUCCCUCCCUAAUAUAUUUCUGGUGGGUUUUAUGCAGGGAGCUUGGGGACCUGACACUCCCUGUAGGGACUCAACAUACAAAGAUGUGUAUUAAGCAACUGUGGAUAAUUGAAAAGGGGUUUGCAGCACAUUUGGCCCAAUUGUUUUAAUUCUUGUCUGGUCGGUUAUUUACUAUUUCCAAGGGGGAAAAAAUAUUUUUGUGAAUACCUAUUUAGAGGUUAGUGGAACUAUUUUCUAUUACUGUCCCUUUAAACAACACCUCCCCCAGGCUGCCCAUGUUUAUUUAUCAUGAAAUGGGUGAGUGCUGUUGCUAUUUCCCAUAAGUGAUUCCUAAGCACAUAUAUAUGGGUUAAUAUUUGGUGAACGAUGUUAAUUUGAUCCUAAAGAGCCUCUGGCUGUUUGGGUCACUGUGCUUCUGUAAGGUGAGCACACGUCAGACGUCAAACAAAUACACAGACAUAGCAGUGCUUGCUGCCUCUCACAGAAAUAGCAUGCAAUCACCUCCUGAUGAUACUGUCUAUGACACAUGUAAACAGUGUGGCAAGGGUUAACCCCUUCAUGGCCAGCACUAAGCAAAUUCCUGCUAACUAAAUCUGAGAUGUUAUUGGUCCUUAUUGGGUUAGGUGACCCUCUACUGAGAAGCUAUUUGAUGGACUGCAACUCUAAUCAAAGCCAGUCUAUUUGACCAUUUCUAAACAUCUACGUUUCAUAGACGUGUGUUCUGUUAUUCAUAUUCAAGUUGGCAUUUGUGAAGAAUUGUCAUGAGAAAUACAAAUUUUUAAUCAUGGAGUUGAGCUGCAUGGAUGCCAUCUUCAGCGGCUCCGGCCUGAGGGCAUACAAUCUGCUCAACCCACCACUAUCCAAGGCCAAUUCUGACUAACACUACACAAUAUUCUUGGGAAAAGUAGCACUGUGGUAUACCCUGCACUCAAUAUUGUUUGAAUUGCUGCAAGUUUAGUCAAGAUAUUAGGCCUGAUCUCCCCAUGUCCUCCCAGAAUAAACUAAUACGAGGGUCUUGAUUAUGACGCAUUGCAACAGAGAUGACCACAGGGGGGUCAUCCCAGACUGUCAAUACAUUUUGUUCUGCAGGCCCCACCUGCUUAUCCUCGCACCUGUGUUCAGUGGCCCUGCUGACAGGCACUGCCUCUUUCAAUUUUAGUGUUAUAAGUUAAGUCUAUACUUUCGUAAGCCCUCUUUCAGGAACGAAGUUCGCCUGUGUGAAUUCACCAGUUUGAAUUCAUCUGUUAGAAUUCAUCAAUCUGAAUUCGCAUGCUUGAAUUAGUCGGAAUGCAAUAUUCCAGGAAAAUCGCAAAUUUUGCCCCGAAUGUAAUGCCACAUUAAAUCUAAUGCAUAUUCAAAUGUUGGAUACUUUAUUUUGCACAAAAAGUGCGCAUUAGAGUAAAUAGCGUAUUAUGUUUGUUUUUUAAAUCCAUUUUAUUUUUAUUCACUUGUUUAACAGUGUAUAUAACAGAUCAUAUUACAUACAGACAGGGUGGUUUGUUGUGUCGCUGUCUGUUGGUAUGUCACAAACAGACAGGCCAGUGUCACAUUACUGCAAGUAUUGUAUCAAUAAAUGUAUAUUAAGAUACACAUACCCGCAUCCUUCAAACAUAUUAGUAUAAAUACGACAGCAAGUUCAGAAAGAUUUUUGUUGCUAAAGAACCAAUGACCUUCAAAAGGUCACCUCAUAUCCUUGAACAUGGGAAUGAUUUUAGAUGUUGUGUAGGCCGAGGGCAUCUAUGCCACUUUAAAAAUAAUUUCCAUUGAUAUCUACUCACAAAAUCUCAAGAUUUAAACGCCCCAGACAUCCUAAGAAAGAGGAUUGCUGUUCCACUGUAAAUUGUUUAUGAGAAGUUAUUUUUAAAGUGUCAAAUAUUCUUAGUCUUCCCCACCCCUUCUGCUCUUAAUUCCCCAACCAAGGGAAAAUUGUGUCGGAUGCCUCCAAACAACUCAUGCUGGGCAUGUUGUUCUCAGCCACAUUUAGAAACAAAUCAUGGAAUCCUGGAUGUUAUAAGAUUAGGUGCGGGACACUAUGUACUAAGGUGUGACACUUAUUAAGAGUCUGUGAACGUCUUGCUAUCAGCACUAGAUUUAUCUGUUACUAGGCUGAAUAUAUGAAUAGCUUGCUGGCUAGGUUACAUAGGAAGAAAGGCGCAAGCAUGAGAUAAAGAGUCCAUAUCUUUUUUUUUUUUUUUUUUAAAUAUGUGCAGGUGCAGACAGAAACCAAGGCAGAGUCCAGAAUAACUGUAGACUGUACACAAAUAGGCCUGGCAACCAGUUAGGACAUGCACGUCUUGUCCAAAACAAAAUUGAUGGAAGCAAGAAUGCAUUCUUAAACUGCACAGAAGAGAUGAUGUCCUGCUGCAAGUUCUUAUAAUGUCUUAGGGUUGGUAUUUAUGCAUGUCUGUCUCAUUAUUAACCUUGGAUAUUAUUAUAGCCCAGUCACAACCCAGCUAUUGGGGACUCUUUAAAGGAACACACCAAGUGCCCUGGGUCCCUUCCAAUAUAAGUAGUCAAACCGUGUGCCAACUGUUUGAGUUCCUACUUGGGGUCUGCCAGGCUGAAAGCAGGAACUUCCUACUCACAAUAUAGAAAGAGGAGAGGCAGGGAGUGGUGCCUAACUGAAGCCAGGUAAGAUGUACAUUGGGGGGCACCAUUAUCAAUACAGGACUCUUGAGUAGCUACGGUGCUUGGAGUGUUCAUUUAAUUUUAUUCUAGACUAUAUACAUUGAGAAAAUCCUAAAAGCACUUCUUAAAGUAAAAGCCGUUUUGCCUGUUAUGUAGGUGCAAAACACAGGCAGACUUUGUGGAAGAACAAAGAUCUGCUCAAAUUUAAGUUUUGUGAAGGACCCGGGGAUUUUCACUUUCAGUGACCAUUGAACAGAGAAGAAAAAAAAGCCUCCCCCAUCUUAAUUAAAAUAUGUCUGUUUCUUGAAUUAGCAGUACAGUAGUAUAGACUGUCCUGUAACAGGUCUGAUUUCGACUAUGGAAGUUCCAAACCCACAACCUGGGAAAAUGAAAGCACCAGUUGCAGAGCUCACUCAGUGCUCAGGGCUAGAUAUUUUUCAAUCCUAAUACAGUGAACGUCC
This is a non-coding RNA of Pelobates cultripes (western spadefoot toad), 5408 nucleotides long. Lineage: Eukaryota; Metazoa; Chordata; Amphibia; Anura; Pelobatidae. The record is from the annotation of a GenBank genome assembly.